CCUACGGGUGGCAGCAGUGGGGAAUAUUGCACAAUGGGGGAAACCCUGAUGCAGCGACGCCGCGUGAGUGAAGAAGUAUUUCGGUACGUAAAGCUCUAUCAGCAGGGAAGAAAAUGACGGUACCUGACUAAGAAGCCACGGCUAACUACGUGCCAGCAGCCGCGGUAAUACGUAAGGGGCAAGCGUUAUCCGGAUUUACUGGGUGUAAAGGGAGCGUAGACGGCAGCGCAAGUCUGGAGUGAAAUCCCAUGGCUUAACCAUGGAACUGCUUUGGAAACUGUGCAGCUAGAGUGCAGGAGAGGUAAGCGGAAUUCCUAGUGUAGCGGUGAAAUGCGUAGAUAUUAGGAGGAACACCAGUGGCGAAGGCGGCUUACUGGACUGUAACUGACGUUGAGGCUCGAAAGCGUGGGGAGCAAACAGGAGUAGAUAUCCGGGUAGUC
RNAcentral lists this ribosomal RNA (440 nucleotides) under uncultured bacterium. RNAcentral's name for it is "partial 16S ribosomal RNA". It matches the Rfam family "Bacterial small subunit ribosomal RNA", at positions 338 to 795 of the family's 1533-position model. The record is from RNAcentral.